This 449-nucleotide ribosomal RNA is filed under the name uncultured bacterium. RNAcentral describes it as "bacterial SSU rRNA". It matches the Rfam family "Bacterial small subunit ribosomal RNA", at positions 354 to 796 of the family's 1533-position model. The record is from RNAcentral.
GUCGAGAAUUUUUCACAAUGGGCGAAAGCCUGAUGGAGCGACGCCGCGUGGGGGAUGAAUGGCUUCGGCCCGUAAACCCCUGUCAUUUGCGACUAAACUCUGGAGUUUAAUAGACUCCAGACUGAAAGUAGCAGAAGAGGAAGGGACGGCUAACUCUGUGCCAGCAGCCGCGGUAAUACAGAGGUCCCAAGCGUUGUUCGGAUUUACUGGGCGUAAAGGGUGCGUAGGUGGUAGGGUAAGUUCUAGGUGAAAGCUUCGGGCUCAACCCGAAAAUUGCCUCGAAUACUAUUCUGCUAGAGGGUCGGAAGGGAGACUGGAAUUCUCGGUGUAGCAGUGAAAUGCGUAGAUAUCGAGAGGAACACCUGUGGCGAAGGCGAGUCUCUGGACGAUUCCUGACACUGAGGCACGAAAGCUAGGGGAGCAAACGGGAUUAGAUACCCGAGUAGUCC